GAUGAACGCUGGCGGCGUGCCUAAUACAUGCAAGUCGAGCGAACAGAUGAGGAGUUUGCUCCUCUGACGUUAGCGGCGGACGGGUGAGUAACACGUGGAUAACCUACCUAUAAGACUGGGAUAACUUCGGGAAACCGGAGCUAAUACCGGAUAAUAUAUUGAACCGCAUGGUUCAAUAGUGAAAGACGGUUUUGCUGUCACUUAUAGAUGGAUCCGCGCCGCAUUAGCUAGUUGGUAAGGUAACGGCUUACCAAGGCAACGAUGCGUAGCCGACCUGAGAGGGUGAUCGGCCACACUAGAACUGAGACACGGUCCAGACUCCUACGGGAGGCAGCAGUAGGGAAUCUUCCGCAAUGGGCGAAAGCCUGACGGAGCAACGCCGCGUGAUUGAUGAAGGUCUUCGGAUCGUAAAACUCUGUUAUUAGGGAAGAACAAAUGUGUAAGUAACUAUGCACGUCUUGACGGUACCUAAUCAGAAAGCCACGGCUAACUACGUG
Molecule: ribosomal RNA, 497 nt
Filed under: uncultured bacterium
Lineage: Bacteria
Description: partial 16S ribosomal RNA
Rfam family: Bacterial small subunit ribosomal RNA
Source: RNAcentral